Molecule: ribosomal RNA, 749 nt
Filed under: uncultured Nautella sp.
Lineage: Bacteria; Pseudomonadati; Pseudomonadota; Alphaproteobacteria; Rhodobacterales; Roseobacteraceae
Description: bacterial SSU rRNA
Rfam family: Bacterial small subunit ribosomal RNA
Source: RNAcentral
AGAGUUUGAUGGUGGCUCAGAACGAACGCUGGCGGAAGGCUUAACACAUGCAAGUCGAGCGCGCCCUUCGGGGUGAGCGGCGGACGGGUUAGUAACGCGUGGGAACGUGCCCAGAUCUAAGGAAUAGCCACUGGAAACGGUGAGUAAUACCUUAUACGCCCUUCGGGGGAAAGAUUUAUCGGAUUUGGAUCGGCCCGCGUUAGAUUAGGUAGUUGGUGGGGUAAUGGCCUACCAAGCCUACGAUCUAUAGCUGGUUUUAGAGGAUGAUCAGCAACACUGGGACUGAGACACGGCCCAGACUCCUACGGGAGGCAGCAGUGGGGAAUCUUGGACAAUGGGGGCAACCCUGAUCCAGCCAUGCCGCGUGAGUGAUGAAGGCCUUAGGGUCGUAAAGCUCUUUCGCCUGUGAUGAUAAUGACAGUAGCAGGUAAAGAAACCCCGGCUAACUCCGUGCCAGCAGCCGCGGUAAUACGGAGGGGGUUAGCGUUGUUCGGAAUUACUGGGCGUAAAGCGCGCGUAGGCGGAUUAGUCAGUUAGAGGUGAAAUCCCAGGGCUCAACCCUGGAACUGCCUUUAAUACUGCUAGUCUUGAGUUCGAGAGAGGUGAGUGGAAUUCCGAGUGUAGAGGUGAAAUUCGUAGAUAUUCGGAGGAACACCAGUGGCGAAGGCGGCUCACUGGCUCGAUACUGACGCUGAGGUGCGAAAGUGUGGGGAGCAAACAGGAUUAGAUACCCUGGUAGUCCACACCGU